RNAcentral lists this small RNA (29 nucleotides) under Bombyx mori (domestic silkworm). RNAcentral describes it as "ovarian small RNA-4717". Lineage: Eukaryota; Metazoa; Arthropoda; Insecta; Lepidoptera; Bombycidae. The record is from RNAcentral.
CAGCGACAGUGCUUCGAGAAUGCAAAACU